This 1265-nucleotide long non-coding RNA is filed under the name Oryctolagus cuniculus (rabbit). Its description in RNAcentral is "lncRNA (ENSOCUG00000037399.1)". The record is from RNAcentral. Lineage: Eukaryota; Metazoa; Chordata; Mammalia; Lagomorpha; Leporidae.
ACCUGUAAAUAAUAGUCCAGAUUGAGUGUAAGAAACCUUGAAUUAUAUUCAACAAUGAAAUGAUUUGCGAACAUUUAGAGAAUCAUUUUUUUUUCCUAAUUUGCAAUAGUACCAAAAUGUGUUAUGAUCAUGAAAGAGCAGUUUGUUGGAAUAAAAACUAAAUUUAAAGAUCAAACAUUUAAAGUCUGGAAAGACCAACUAGUUAAAUUUUUUAAAACCUUAUUUCUAUGUGUCAGAUGAUAAUACCCACUGAACAGAUGGAGGCAGGAAACAUUUAGGUCUGUGCUCCAUCUAUGGAAAUGCAAAAUAAAGCAGGAGGCCUGAGUCAAGCUACCUCUUAAAGGAAAUUGGCAUAUCAGUUGCAUUGAAGCAUAUAUUAUGCUUCCCAUUUAGUGACAGUUUUGCACUUAUGGAAUAAAUUACUGAAAAGUACCUUGUAUCACUUUAAUAAUCAAAUUAUUAUGGAAUACCUAUUUAGACAACAUUUUAAAGUUUUCCUUUUUUAAUAUUACCAAAAUGCUGAAAAGCCUGCAAAAAAUCCCACAAUUAACUAAAUAUAGUAUGGAGAGAGAAAUGAGCUUCAUGAAUUUUAACUUAAAAAUGUCAAAAUAUAAAUCCCAAAGUAAAUGCUCGCAUAAGGACAGUUUUAUCUGCAUCAGAAUCAUUUGUUUUACUGAUCCAAAUGAAUAAAGAGUUGAAAGAAAGAACUCAGACCAAUUAGUGUUGCACAGCCCUGGUGAGUGUUUUGACAGCAUGAAAUCUACAGCAUUUCCAAGUAGAGCUGGCCUUUGGACUGUUUGUGCUCCAUUUUCGUACUUGCCUCUGUGGUUCAUAGAGAUGCUCUGUGUCCUUGACCCUAAUUCUGGACUUCUCCUGGAUUCAGCCAAUCACCUGGGCAAGGCUGAAAGCAAGAACUGAGAAGGAGCUGCACCGUCUCUACCAUGUCCCUGUUGCCUCCAGCAGCUUCUGGAUACCACUCUAAGACAUUCUGCCUAGAUUCCAGAUGCCCUUCUGAAAUCAGAGUUUAUAGAAGCAUCUUACAAAAUAAAAACGCACACCCUGAUGCUGCUGAAUGGUCAAGGACAGAGAUAGGGAAAGCACAACAUCACAUGAAUGCUUCUGAAGCGGUGUGGAAUUCUAGAGAAGAAGUAUUCAAGGAACAAGGGGGACCUGCUGGAGCUGAAAAGUGGAAAGGUCACUCGAGUUUGUAUCUCACAUCCCCAGCCUUUCAAGUAGAUCAAAGGUGCUUGUCUUUGUGGGACUGA